This 527-nucleotide unclassified non-coding RNA is filed under the name Hevea brasiliensis (rubber tree). Lineage: Eukaryota; Viridiplantae; Streptophyta; Magnoliopsida; Malpighiales; Euphorbiaceae. The record is from RNAcentral.
AAAAAAGAAGGUACCCCACAAUUUCAUCACCAUCAUUACAAAUCGGACAGAGUGGAGAGGGAGAGCAUUGCCGCCUGGGAAGGUUUAUUUUGGUAGCAAGAGCAUCAUCACAUGCUCUCCCUAGAAAAAGUUUUUAUUAGGAGCAACAGGGAGAGAACAGAGCUUUGUCCAAGAUGAUUCAAGGGAAGCAUUGGAUCUUGAUGGCAAAGCAGUAGAUGAGGCUUCAGCUUGAGAUUUUUUCAACAUGUGGUAAACAGAUUUCAUCAUGGGCUUGCCAUGACGAGUAAAGUGCCAUGUUCUAGAUGCUUCCCGACCAGAACGCCCUAAGGGAAUUUUCAGGAUUUCCAUACACUCCAUAGGGUAGAAGAAUGCAUAUAGAGCAUUUUCUGUCUCAUUGAAUAAAAGCUGAGUCUGUGAGAUCAGCAACAUACAGAAUAUGGCUAUCAGGAGGGCUUGGCUAGCAAUCCUAAGUUUGGCAAUGUAGGAACCCACGGUUCUGUCCAAACAUUCACAAAGGUUGGAUCAGU